GCCGCUAUGGUGAAAUCAGUAGACACGAUGCUCUUAAGAAGCAAUGUUAGAGCAUCUCGGUUCGAGUCCGAGUGGUGGCA
This 80-nucleotide transfer RNA is filed under the name Morus notabilis. It matches the Rfam family "tRNA". From Rfam's summary of the family: Transfer RNA (tRNA) molecules are approximately 80 nucleotides in length. Their secondary structure includes four short double-helical elements and three loops (D, anti-codon, and T loops). Further hydrogen bonds mediate the characteristic L-shaped molecular structure. tRNAs have two regions of fundamental functional importance: the anti-codon, which is responsible for specific mRNA codon recognition, and the 3' end, to which the tRNAs corresponding amino acid is attached (by aminoacyl-tRNA synthetases). tRNAs cope with the degeneracy of the genetic code in two manners: having more than one tRNA (with a specific anti-codon) for a particular amino acid; and 'wobble' base-pairing, i.e. permitting non-standard base-pairing at the 3rd anti-codon position. The record is from Rfam by way of RNAcentral. Lineage: Eukaryota; Viridiplantae; Streptophyta; Magnoliopsida; Rosales; Moraceae.